ACGGCUGUCGGAUAUUGGGCGUAAGGGCUCGCAGGCGGUUUCUUAGUCUGAUGUGAAAGCCCCCGGCUCAACCGGGGAGGGUCAUUGGAAACUGGGAAACUUGAGUGCAGAAGAGGAGAGUGGAAUUCCACGUGUAGCGGUGAAAUGCGUAGAGAUGUGGAGGAACACCAGUGGCGAAGGCGACUCUCUGGUCUGUAACUGACGCUGAGGAGCGAAAGCGUGGGGAGCGAACAGGAUUAGAUACCCUGGUAGUCCACGCCGUAAACGAUGAGUGCUAAGUGUUAGGGGGUUUCCGCCCCUUAGUGCUGCACCUAACCCAUUAGGCACUCCGCCUGGGGAGUACGGGCCCAAGACUGAGACUCAAUGGAAUUGACGGGGGCCCGCACAAGCGGUGGAGCAUGUGGUUUAAUUCCAACAUUCCCUUUAAACCUUGCCAGGCCUUGACAUCCUCUGACAACUGUAGAAAUCGGGCUUUCCCUUCGGGGACAGAGGAUCGGGUGGUGCAUGGUUGUCGUCUCUCUGCUCCGCUGACGUUGCGUUAAGGGGCGUCACCACCUGCAACAUCGUUAUUAAUAAACUCAAAGGCAAUGGAUGCAUCUCCGGUGACUGUCAGAGCUGAAAACGUAGAUGACAAGCUCACUGAAUAUGUCAUCACAGCACACUCCCAACGCACCUAAAGGUGAAAUCCUUUUGAAUACGC
This 700-nucleotide ribosomal RNA is filed under the name Bacillus sp. BA1. RNAcentral's name for it is "bacterial SSU rRNA". It matches the Rfam family "Bacterial small subunit ribosomal RNA", at positions 538 to 1178 of the family's 1533-position model. The record is from RNAcentral. Lineage: Bacteria; Bacillati; Bacillota; Bacilli; Caryophanales; Bacillaceae.